This 737-nucleotide long non-coding RNA is filed under the name Salvator merianae (Argentine black and white tegu). RNAcentral describes it as "lncRNA (ENSSMRG00000001634.1)". Lineage: Eukaryota; Metazoa; Chordata; Lepidosauria; Squamata; Teiidae. The record is from RNAcentral.
CUCCUCCCUCCCUCCCUCCCCACCCACCCCCCAAACGCCCUGCCUGGGAAAGUUGCUUUAAGAUCAAUCUUAACGCCUCCUGCCUAGAUAUGGAGAGGAGAGCAGGCAGGUUGACCUUUGGGGAGGUGAAGGAAACAGCAAGUGGAAGGUGAGAUCUUCACUUGAAAAUGCAAAGAGGACGUUGCUGCGUUGGAGACAACUACGGAUAUGGGCUGUUGGUGUUAAGGCACCCAGGGAUGAAACCUUAGAGAAACCCAGGUCAUCUUCUGCUUUUGGUCNGUGCACCCCGCCCCCUGUAAAAAAACAUUGUAAUCAGUAUUUUAAGGCCAGGGAUAAUAGAUAUCUAUAGUGCAAUCCUAACUACAGUAUUCAGAAGUAAAUUCAUUUGCGUUCAGAGGCGUUUAUUCUUAGGAGAGCAAAGUGAGAACUGCACCUUUUAAUGCUGGCAAUGCUAAAAAUAUUUUUCUCUGUUGGGGGUACCUCCCAUUGAAAUCAGUAGGCUUCUUUCUGAGUAGAGUAGUCCUUAAUGAACCAUAGGGCAACAAUUUAAGGACCACAGGAAGUGAUCUUUCCUAGUACAGUUUUACAUGCAAUACUAAUGUCACUUUGCUAGGAGUAAGUAUCAUUUAGUCCUGUAGAAUUUACUUCAGAGUAGAUACAGGAUUGCAAUGCCAGCUGUAAACUGUGUGAUUCAGCUCUGGAUUGCUCAUUAAUAAAAUAAAUGUUUUACUUUUGCA